This 743-nucleotide ribosomal RNA is filed under the name uncultured bacterium. Its description in RNAcentral is "bacterial SSU rRNA". It matches the Rfam family "Bacterial small subunit ribosomal RNA", at positions 93 to 868 of the family's 1533-position model. The record is from RNAcentral.
UAGUGGCGGACGGGUGAGUAACGCGUGAGAAUCUGCCUUCAGGAUGGGGACAACAAUUGGAAACGAUUGCUAAUACCCGAUAUGACGAAAGUUGAAAGAUUUAUCGCCUGGAGAUGAGCUCGCGUCAGAUUAGCUAGAUGGUGUGGUAAAGGCGCACCAUGGCGACGAUCUGUAGCUGGUCUGAGAGGAUGAGCAGCCACACUGGGACUGAGACACGGCCCAGACUCCUACGGGAGGCAGCAGUGGGGAAUUUUCCGCAAUGGGCGCAAGCCUGACGGAGCAAUACCGCGUGAGGGAGGAAGGCUCUUGGGUCGUAAACCUCUUUUCUCAGGGAAGAAUACAAUGACGGUACCUGAGGAAUCAGCAUCGGCUAACUCCGUGCCAGCAGCCGCGGUAAUACGGAGGAUGCAAGCGUUAUCCGGAAUGAUUGGGCGUAAAGCGUCCGUAGGUGGUUAUGUAAGUCUGUGGUUAAAGCGUGGGGCUCAACCCCAUAACGGCCAUGGAAACUACAAGACUUGAGUAAAGUAGGGGUAGAGGGAAUUCCCAGUGUAGCGGUGAAAUGCGUAGAGAUUGGGAAGAACACCGGUGGCGAAAGCGCUCUACUGGACUUAAACUGACACUGAGGGACGAAAGCUAGGGGAGCGAAAGGGAUUAGAUACCCCUGUAGUCCUAGCCGUAAACGAUGGAUACUAGGUGUUGCCCGUAUCGACCCGGGCAGUGCCGUAGCUAACGCGAAUCGAAUU